RNAcentral lists this transfer RNA (75 nucleotides) under Candidatus Saccharimonadota bacterium. RNAcentral's name for it is "tRNA-Cys". It matches the Rfam family "tRNA". Rfam says of the family: Transfer RNA (tRNA) molecules are approximately 80 nucleotides in length. Their secondary structure includes four short double-helical elements and three loops (D, anti-codon, and T loops). Further hydrogen bonds mediate the characteristic L-shaped molecular structure. tRNAs have two regions of fundamental functional importance: the anti-codon, which is responsible for specific mRNA codon recognition, and the 3' end, to which the tRNAs corresponding amino acid is attached (by aminoacyl-tRNA synthetases). tRNAs cope with the degeneracy of the genetic code in two manners: having more than one tRNA (with a specific anti-codon) for a particular amino acid; and 'wobble' base-pairing, i.e. permitting non-standard base-pairing at the 3rd anti-codon position. Lineage: Bacteria; Candidatus Saccharimonadota. The record is from RNAcentral.
GAUCCGGUAGCCAAGAGGUAAGGUAUCAGUCCGCAAAACUGAAGAGCAUCGGUUCAACUCCGAUUCGGAUCUCCA